ACUUCCUGGCCUUGAUCUGUCACUCCCCACCCACGGCUCACAGUCCCAUCACCGCUGGGCCAAACAGUCAAGUGGGCAGUGUGCAAACUGCUUUAAAAUAUGACCACCUACACGCCCGCACAGAGUCUUUGAGCACUCAACAUUCAAACCCUGCCACAGAGGAGGAAGUAUGGGGAAGGAGUGUCUGUUGUGCGGAGGAGGUUUCUCAUUUGAUCCAUCUGCAACUACACCUGCCUACUGGACUCCACUUAGGUGACUGUCCAAGGCCUGCUUGGUUCCCCUAGAACAUGGGUCUCGCGGCUGUCAACAGCAGGGAGCCGACUAACCACUAAAGCACACCAGCUCAAACUAAAGACCCACAGAUGCAAAGGACUCACACAGUUUACUGUUGCUGCUAUACACCUUUGGAGACACAUUGAAGUUCCCACUAACCUGAGGUAAUUCAGACAGUUGAUUUCCAUCCAACCAGAGAUCCUUCAGAUGUAGGAGCGCCCCAAUUGAUUCUGGCUGAAACAAAAGGUAACAUUAUAGUAACAAGACCCCAGACCUCCAUCCUCCAUUAUGGAAGGAAGAAUCAUCCAUUGGGAGCAGGGUACUACAGCUGGGUUAGUAGUUACCUCUCUUAUAACAACACUGUCCCUGAAACUGCCCCAAACCUACAAUGCAAACCUGUCCCCAGCGCUCAGAUCUCUAGUCCUGACUCUCCCCAAACCACGAUUCUUAACCACUCCGGACUGAAGUGCAUUGCUUCAGUGUUUGAAGCUGAAGCGUUUCCAAGCUGUGCUUGAAGAAACGCAGCUCCAGUGACUCCUCAAAACCAUCUGUGAUCUUAAGGACAGAGAAGCAUCAAAUCUCUGGGAUACACACUUACCAAAUUAUAGAUUUCAUUGUUUCCUAAAUCAAGUUCUUCUAGUCUCCUUAGUUGGGUAAGAGAGCUGUGGAAACAAUCAACAAGGAAAACACUGAGAGACACUCAAGGCACGCAGAGAAGUAACACACUUCCCUUCCGGACUAGUUUCUGUAAGCAUGGUUCAUGUGUAUGGGGCAGGAAGGACUACCCUUCCGGUCACUGCACAAGAUCCCAUCUUAUUUUCCCCAGAGACUCACUCAGGAAGAUAUGUAAGAAGAUUCUCUCUCAGUUCCAGUGAGGCCAGGUUAUAGAGACUAGAAAUGCAAAGAGGAAACCGGUGUUAAGAAAACGCCUUGGAUAUUCCCACUCUCCCUCCACUGUCCACAUCUCCCCCACGCUGCUCUUAUUAAAACCUUUUCCGGUUACUCCUCAGGAUAAAAACAUUUACCACUA
Mastomys coucha (southern multimammate mouse) is the source of this 1303-nucleotide long non-coding RNA. RefSeq lists it as uncharacterized. The transcript has 2 exons. The record is from RefSeq and is a predicted model, not a curated record. NCBI's taxonomy places the organism in Eukaryota, Metazoa, Chordata, Mammalia, Rodentia, Muridae.